RNAcentral lists this ribosomal RNA (438 nucleotides) under Triticum aestivum (bread wheat). RNAcentral describes it as "partial small subunit ribosomal RNA". Lineage: Eukaryota; Viridiplantae; Streptophyta; Magnoliopsida; Poales; Poaceae. The record is from RNAcentral.
AUGGAGAAGAUAAUUGAUCUAUCUGAUGGUGAGUAUGCUCGGGUUUAUGAUUAUCAGCUUGAGUUGCUUAGAAGCAACCCCGGUAGCACUAUCGCAGUGACAUUAAAUCCAGAAAUUCUUAACAUCAAUGUGUUUGAAAGAAUGCAUAUGUGUUUAGAUGGUUGCAAGAAAGGAUUUCUUGCAGGAUGUAGAAGAGUGGUGGGGCUAGAUGGAUGUUUUUUGAAGGGUGCAUUCAAGGGGCAGUUGCUUUGUGCAAUUGGCAGAGAUGCGAAUAACCAGAUGUAUCCAAUAGCUUGGGCAAUAGUAGAGGUUGAGAGCUAUGAGUCCUGGUAUUGGUUCAUUGGGUUUCUUCAAAAAGAUCUCCAGAUAAAUAACAAUGGCGAAGGAUGGGUUUUCAUCUCUGAUCAACAGAAAGGUCUCAUCAGGGCAGUCAAAUGA